Molecule: ribosomal RNA, 301 nt
Filed under: uncultured bacterium
Lineage: Bacteria
Description: partial 16S ribosomal RNA
Rfam family: Bacterial small subunit ribosomal RNA
Source: RNAcentral
CAGCAGCCGCGGUAAUACGUAGGGUGCAAGCGUUAAUCGGAAUUACUGGGCGUAAAGCGUGCGCAGGCGGUUAUAUAAGUCAGAUGUGAAAUCCCCGGGCUCAACCUGGGAACUGCAUUUGAGACUGUAUGGCUAGAGUGUGUCAGAGGGGGGUAGAAUUCCACGUGUAGCAGUGAAAUGCGUAGAUAUGUGGAGGAAUACCGAUGGCGAAGGCAGCCCCCUGGGAUAACACUGACGCUCAUGCACGAAAGCGUGGGGAGCAAACAGGAUUAGAUACCCCUGUAGUCCCUGUCUCUUAUAA